Taeniopygia guttata (zebra finch) is the source of this 2397-nucleotide non-coding RNA. NCBI's taxonomy places the organism in Eukaryota, Metazoa, Chordata, Aves, Passeriformes, Estrildidae. The record is from RefSeq and is a predicted model, not a curated record.
AGUCACCCCAACAGUUCAUUCAGCUUAAAGGUGGAGAGUGAAGCAGGAAUUGCAGAGGGCCGCUCUGUGCUGGGUCCACGCUGGGUCUUCGCCAAGUCCUUGCCAACUCCUUGCCAAGUUCUUGCCGGGCCUCAUUCGGAACGUAACGGUACAGCGGCUGCACCUGCACUGUUGCCUUCUCCAAGCCGGAACUGCAGUGGGGGGAAGGGAGUUCCUUCUCGUGGCAAUCGGCAGGCAAAUGAGUGAGGGUCUUCAGACAGCCUCUUACAAGAGGUGACAGCUGGAACUUACCAGACAGGCAGACGGCCUUUUUCUGCAGCCAACAGGGAUUUGCAUCCCCAGAUGAAUGCAAGAUAAGUGGAGGGUUAUGACCCACAGAGAGGAUGGAGGUGGGGUGCCAGGUUGGGACUUUCUAGAAGAGGUUUUUGUCUGUUUUAGAGAUGGGGAUGUCCAAGAAGCGUCCCCUUAGGUCACCUAAAGGGAAAGUGUCUGUUUUGAUCUCUGUGCUGAGGUGCACAGGGCAGAGCAGUUCCGGUGUGUGUCCUGUCACUUGUCUCUGGUGCACCCUGUGUUCUUUGGGUCUCUCGGUCCUUUCUUCUCAUCUAAAGCUCUCUCUCCCUCUCCUGUCCCCUCGUCUGUCACGUCCUGUCCCGUGUCACGGGUGUCUGCGCAUAUUCAUCCCGGAGCUGCUCUGCCCUGCUGCAUAGCCUGUAACAGCACAAGUCCUGUGGACUUGAAAUUUGUAAUGCAGGGUGUAGUUGGGCUCUAGACUGGAUUAAGAGAUUGCCAUAACAUGUUUGGUACUGUUAAGUUUUUCUGCAGCUGUUUGACACUAGUCCUAACUUCCUUUCAGAUGCAGACAGUUCAAAUCUGUGGCAGUGGGCUCCAGUCCUGGCUGAGGAACUUCCAAUGAGCAGGAGGUCCAGGCAGAUAGCAGCUGUCAAGGCCAAGUCUGCCAGGGAAUCCACUGGGAGUAUGCCAAGCCCUUGUCACCAGCUGGCUGAUGGACCGGGUUUCCUGCACUUAUGAGCCCUCUGGAAGUAUUACAGGACCCUGUGAUGAAGCCUACCGGUUUUGUAUUUCAAGGUCUUCUCCUGGUAGCCCAGAGGACUGGCCGAGGAGUUGCAGUGAGUCGGUGAGGUAGGGAGGAGUGAGAGUCCACUCGAGUUUCAGCAAUGCCAUGUAACGUUGUCUCCACUUAACCUAGCUGUACCCUGCAAUGACGGCGUCAGAAUCCAAGCAGACCUGAAGCGUCCAGGCCACGUACAUGUCCAUUUUGAUGAGAAUGACCAAGAGGUGACAGCUGGAACUUACCAGACAGGCAGACGGCCUUUUUCUGCAGCCAACAGGGAUUUGCAUCCCCAGAUGAAUGCAAGAUAAGUGGAGGGUUAUGACCCACAGAGAGGAUGGAGGUGGGGUGCCAGGUUGGGACUUUCUAGAUGAGGUUUUUGUGUCUGUUUUAGAGAUGGGGAUGUCCAAGAAGCAUCGCCUUAGGUCACCUAAAGCGCAAGUGUCUGUUUUGAUCUCUGUGCUGAGGUGCACAGGGCAGAGCAGUUCCGGUGUGUGUCCUGUCACUUGUCUCUGGUGCACUCUGUGUUCUUUGGGUCUCUCGGUCCUUUCUUCUCAUCUAAAGCUCUCUCUCCCUCUCCUGUCCCCUCGUCUGUCACGUCCUGUCCUGUGUCACGGGUGUCUGCACAUAUUCAUCCCGGAGCUGCUCUGCCCUGCUGCAUUGCCUGUAAUAGCACAAGUCCUGUGGACUUGAAAUUUGUAAUGCAGGGUGUAGUUGGUCUCUAGACUGGAUUAAGAGAUUGCCAUAACAUGUUUGGUACUGUUAAGUUUUCCUGCGGUCUUUUGACACUAGUUCUAACUUCCUUUCAGAUGCAGACAGUUCAAAUCUGUGGCAGAGGGCUCCAGUCUUGGAUGAAGAACUUCCCAUGAGCAGGUCAUUGUUUUCAUUUGCAGGGGAAGCCUUAAUGGUGACUGUGUUAGAGUGGUGUUCUUUGCCUUUAUUUUUAGGAACUCCAGGCAGAUAGCAGCAGUCAAGGCCCAUUGUGCCAGGGAAUCCACUGCGAGUAUGCCAAGCCCCUGUCACCAGCUGGCCGAUGGACCGGGUUUCCUGCACUUAUGAGCCCUCUGGAAGUAUUACAGGACCCUGUGAUGAAGCCUACCGGUUUUGUAUUUCAAGGUCUUCUCCUGGUAGCCCAGAGGAAUGGCUGAGGAGUUGUGGUGUACCCUGUGUUGAAGGUGUCGGCCUCCAAGCACGCCUGAGGUGCGUGGCCCGAGCAUUCUUAGGAAACGACCAAGAGAGAAGAGCCUGGUGACAACUGGAAUUUCCCAGACCAGCAGGAGGCCUCCUUCUGCACCUGAUGAGGAUUUGCAUCCCCAGAUAUGUGCAAG